GACGAACGCUGGCGGCGUGCUUAACACAUGCAAGUCGAACGGAAAGGCCCUGCUUUUGUGGGGUGCUCGAGUGGCGAACGGGUGAGUAACACGUGAGUAACCUGCCCUUGACUUUGGGAUAACUUCAGGAAACUGGGGCUAAUACCGGAUAGGAGCUCCUGCUGCAUGGUGGGGGUUGGAAAGUUUCGGCGGUUGGGGAUGGACUCGCGGCUUAUCAGCUUGUUGGUGGGGUAGUGGCUUACCAAGGCUUUGACGGGUAGCCGGCCUGAGAGGGUGACCGGCCAAAUUGGGACUGAGAUACGGCCCAGACUCAUACGGGAGGCAGCAGUGGGGAAUAUUGCAAAAUGGGCGGAAGCCUGAUGCAGCAACGCCGCGUGCGGGAUGACGGCCUUCGGGUUGUAAACCGCUUUCGCCUGUGACGAAGCGUGAGUGACGGUAAUGGGUAAAGAAGCACCGGCUAACUACGUG
This 468-nucleotide ribosomal RNA is filed under the name uncultured bacterium. Its description in RNAcentral is "partial 16S ribosomal RNA". It matches the Rfam family "Bacterial small subunit ribosomal RNA", at positions 28 to 507 of the family's 1533-position model. The record is from RNAcentral.